This 3235-nucleotide unclassified non-coding RNA is filed under the name Hevea brasiliensis (rubber tree). Lineage: Eukaryota; Viridiplantae; Streptophyta; Magnoliopsida; Malpighiales; Euphorbiaceae. The record is from RNAcentral.
CUGCUGCUGCUGCUGCUGUUGCUGAAGAUAUUGCAUUUGCAGCAACUGCUGUUGAUAUUGUUGCUGCAAAAGCUGCUGCUGUUGCGGCUGUUGAUGUUGCAGCAACUGCUGCUGUUGCCAAAGAAGCUGCUGUUGCUGGUAGUAAUAAUAUUGCCACAUCUGGUUAUAUGCUUGGUUAUUUUGCACAUUCCCUUGUUGCUCAUUACUUUGGCUGGGAUGCUGAGACAUUUGCGAUUGAGGAUUCAUACCAGGAUGUAUGAGUGGUUGAUACUGAAAAGCGUGGGAAAGAUUCUGCUGUUGCAGAUUUUGCAUUGCCCAAGCUUGCGGUGCUGUUUGAUUAGCCUGAACAUUAGAUGCAGGAUACUGACUUUGUAGUUGGCCACCUUGCUGAACUUGUAGAUUUUGUGAAAAUUGAGAUUGAGAUGGGUAAUCUCGAUUCAUGUCUUUUUCAGCUCGUGGGUGCAUUCGUUGUGGAGAAGACUGCAGCUGUUUAUGCAUUCUUUUAUGUGAAUGCCCACGAAACCCAGAUUUGGAAUCUCUGCGAAAUCUGUCAGAACUACCCUUUUGAUGCCAGUUUUUACCAUUAUUUUCUAGUUUCUGUGGUUGUAGACGUGUGUGUGCCAUACUGUUCUGAUUACUUGCUGAAGAUGACGGACUAACAUGUCCAGUAUUAGUUUGGGCAGAAGCUGUUGCUUGAGUGCUCAAUGGGCUGGAUAUAAUACGAUCAACAAUAGCAUUCUGACCACUCUCUAACAUAUUUUCAUUUACCAUACUAUUUUUCAGAGCUUCACUCUUUGGCACAUUUCCAUCUGACAAAAUAGUUUUGUCAGGAGCUCCAGAAUCAUAAGCUGUGGGACUGAUAGGACCUGGAGAUUUAGCAUCCUGAGUAUCUAGGGAAAGUCCCUCCAGUGAAGGUGGUUUCAAGUCCUGUUCAGGCUCAUGACCAUGUUCUUUGUGCACAUCAUUUUCUUUGGAAAAUUCCAAUGAAGCUGGAGUACUUUCAGUUACAUCAGCAACUUGAGUUUUUAAAUCAAGAGACAGAUUUGGUUCAACGUCUUUUCCAGAUGGCUCUGAAACUUUGAGAGACACCAUGCGCACACUCUCAUGCACAUUGUUGUCAGGUUCUCCCGAUUGAAGCAGGUCAACUUUUGCCUGAAACACACUCUCCUGAUUUUUGUCAGAUAGGUCAUUGGGAUUUUCCAGCAAUGGUAAUUCCUGGUCUGAUACCUUAUUUGAUAGCAUAUCAUGAUUUUUCAAUAAGGGCAAUUUCUGGUCUGAGACCUGGUCAGUGGCAGGAUGGGCAGCCUGGGUAUCGUGAUUUUCCAGUGGGGACAGUUUCUUGUCUUGCAGUGGUGUCUGGGUCAGGCACUGAGAACUGCUAUCUCCAGAAGGCUGAUGGGGCAAACUGACAUGGGUUUCUUCAUGUGUCUCCAGAGUUAUCUUCCAUUGUUUUGUUCCCAUAGCUGGACAAAAUAAACUAGCCCUUACAGACUCCGGGAACAAUCUAAUGUGCUGAUUCCAGGCCUUCCUUACAUCAAGGAUGGUUCCACAGAGGUCAACAAACUCUAGGUAUUGUUUUGAUAUUUGCUCCCUUUCUGUUGCACUGAAACCUUGAGAUACACCUGGCCUUGGAGAUAUUGCAUUUGCUACAAUGGCAUCUAUCACAUUUAGAUGACUUGAUCCUCUAUGUGUUAUUCCAAAUUUUAUUAAUUCCUCUAUAAGUAACUUGCAGUAAGGCACUUGCUUGAUUCCAUCUAUCAAGAUGUCUCUAGCAGCAUCUUCACUAUCAGUAGUCAUGUGUUUAAGUCGAGAAAAGUUAACAUACAAAGUAGGAAGAAUAUGCCACUUUUCCUUCGCUGCAGCCUUUUCAAUUGCUUCAUUGUAUAUAGUAGAAGCUGCAAUGAAAUUUCCCAGACGUUUUUCCAUGUUAGAUCUCAUUACAACAUUUUCAACGAAGUCUGAAUCUGAUUCUGUAUCACAUUGAAGAAAGGCAGCACGUGCAUUAAACUCAUCCCUUAUGCGCUCCCUAAACCUGGCAUUGAACAGAUGAAUCACUGACACCCUCUUCAGGAAGAUUUGUGUAGCCCGGUCCAGUGCAUAGUGUGCUAUCUCUCUUCCUCCUUUACUUUCCACGAACUCCGUGUAACGGAUCCAGAACUCAGGGUAAUUAGCACAAGGAAUUAAGCAUCUUUCAUAAAGUUUAACAGCCCAGUCAAAAUCUCCAUGCAAUUCAGCAAAGUCCAGAUAGUGAUGCCAAUUUUCCAAUUGACUGACAUCAAGUGGUUUGACAUGGAAAUAAGACCUCUUAAUUCGGGUCUCAAAAUAACUUAUUUUUUCAUUCAACUGGGAUGCUUUCUGAAAGGACUGUUCACCAAUAGACAUAUAUUUCUGCAGCGCUUUAAACCUGGCUGAGCCAAUCGAUGGAUCCAGCAAGUCUUUAAUUAUGCAAGAAAUGUCAUCUUGGCUAUAGCAUAUAGAAACUUCAUUAUCAAGCAUAGGCUCUACUGAUGUUGUCAUGCUAGGAUUGCUAUGAGAUUCCAUCUCUUCUUCCCAAAUUUCCACUAAUUUCUUAAAACUAUCAUAAUAGUGAAGUAGCUUUUUUGUUGGAAACCUCAAUGUUUGGAUGUAAAUGUCAGCCAGGGAACUCCAAUGCUUCAGAGAGAACUCAAAGUCGAUGUAUUUAUCCCACAAGAUAUGGCAUAAGUAAUCCUUUCCAACAAAGGAUAUGGCUCUUCUGAAUAAUCUGUGAACAUCAUAUGGAUCUUCAAAAACCAUUCUCCCAAAAUUACAAUAAUCAACCCACAUAUCAACAGAAUAAGUUGCCGAUAACACAGCUCGUUCAAAGGCUUCAACAACCUUGUCAACAGUGCAUAAGCGUAUCUUGUGAUUAAUAUACUUCCUCCAAUAGCCAUAGCACAGAGGAAACUUGGACAAGAAAGAGUCAUACGCUAAACAUAUUUUCUCUAUGUUAUCCUGAAAAAUUAUGCAAAAGAACCUUAUUCUCAAUCAUCAAAGAAAUAACCAAUGUGCUGCAUAAAUCUAUAAUAAAAAAGAAACUUAACUAGUGACUAUAUUAGACACAUAAACAAAAACACAUGUAAAAUGAAGUCCCCUAUCCUUAAGAAUGUAGUAGAUAAUAAAACAACAAGGAGAGUGAGAUCUGCAGAUUCCAUGGGUACCAUCUGCCAUGUGAUCAGCUCUCACAACAUCAUUUGCAGUAUCAUUUUCAUCAUCA